Molecule: long non-coding RNA, 463 nt
Organism: Osmia bicornis bicornis
Lineage: Eukaryota; Metazoa; Arthropoda; Insecta; Hymenoptera; Megachilidae
Exons: 3
Source: RefSeq, a predicted model, not a curated record
AUUGGAAUGAAUAUAAUCAUCUCCGGAUAGUUGAUCGUGAGGGUAUGUAUAAGAAAUUUAUUGUUUUAAAUUAAAAGAACAAUUUUUAUUUUAAAUAACUUUUCGUCUAUAUUUAAUUAUAGUGCAUCGAAGAAAUGUUUAUAAUGACAGUUGUGCUUCGAAACGCCUUCUACGAACAUACAUGUCUGACCUAACCGGAAAAGUACUUAUAUUUUAUUUUCAACCCUCGACUUGAUGACUCAUUUCUACGUGGCUUCCGCCUGGGUGGGGCCAACUUCUCCAACGGGAACACGUUAAAAGGACUAUUUCGUCCUUUAUAAGUAUGUCAUCGUAGGUGGUUUAAAUGGAAAAACAUUAGAAAACGAAUGGGCAUCUUCAACAAAGAUAACUAAACAAUAAAUAGUAAUACAUCGGCCUUUUCUCCGAGGGUGUGCAGAUAAUUUCCGUUAAUCUAGUGACAGCG